ACUCGAGUGGCGAACGGGUGAGUAACACGUGGGUGAUCUGCCCUGCACUUCGGGAUAAGCUUGGGAAACUGGGUCUAAUACCGGAUAGGAGCCAUCUUUAGUGUGGUGGUUGGAAAGUUUUUCGGUGUAGGAUGAGCUCGCGGCCUAUCAGCUUGUUGGUGGGGUGAUGGCCUACCAAGGCGACGACGGGUAGCCGGCCUGAGAGGGUGAUCGGCCACAUUGGGACUGAGAUACGGCCCAG
Molecule: ribosomal RNA, 241 nt
Filed under: uncultured Actinomycetales bacterium
Lineage: Bacteria; Bacillati; Actinomycetota; Actinomycetes; Actinomycetales
Description: partial 16S ribosomal RNA
Rfam family: Bacterial small subunit ribosomal RNA
Source: RNAcentral